CCUACGGGAGGCAGCAGUGAGGAAUAUUGGUCAAUGGCCGGAAGGCUGAACCAGCCAUGCCGCGUGAAGGUCAGUGCCCUAUGGGCGUUAAACUUCUUUUGUGCGGGAGCAAUAAUGGUCACGUGUGGCCAGACGAGAGUACCGUACGACUAAGCAUCGGCUAACUCCGUGCCAGCAGCCGCGGUAAUACGGGGGAUGCAAGCGUUAUCCGGAUUUAUUGGGUUUAAAGGGUGCGUAGGCUGGGAGGUAAGUCAGCGGUGAAAUGCCCCCGCUCAACGGGGUGAAGUGCCAUUGAUACUGCCUGGCUGGAAUGCGGAUGCCGUGGGAGGAAUGUGUGGUGUAGCGGUGAAAUGCAUAGAUAUCACACAGAACACCGAUUGCGAAGGCAUCUCACGAAUCCGCGAUUGACGCUGAUGCACGAAAGCGUGGGUAUCAAACAGGAUUAGAUACCCCUGUAGUC
This 460-nucleotide ribosomal RNA is filed under the name uncultured bacterium. RNAcentral's name for it is "partial 16S ribosomal RNA". It matches the Rfam family "Bacterial small subunit ribosomal RNA", at positions 338 to 795 of the family's 1533-position model. The record is from RNAcentral.